Molecule: ribosomal RNA, 459 nt
Filed under: uncultured Phascolarctobacterium sp.
Lineage: Bacteria; Bacillati; Bacillota; Negativicutes; Acidaminococcales; Acidaminococcaceae
Description: partial 16S ribosomal RNA
Rfam family: Bacterial small subunit ribosomal RNA
Source: RNAcentral
ACGGGAGGCAGCAGUGGGGAAUCUUCCGCAAUGGGCGAAAGCCUGACGGAGCAAUGCCGCGUGAGUGAAGAAGGAAUUCGUUCCGUAAAGCUCUUUUGUUUAUGACGAACGUGCCUUGUGUGAACAAUGCGAGGCAAUGACGGUAGUAGACGAAUAAGCCACGGCUAACUACGUGCCAGCAGCCGCGGUAAUACGUAGGUGGCGAGCGUUGUCCGGAAUUAUUGGGCGUAAAGAGCAUGUAGGCGGUUUCCUAAGUCCGGAGUGAAAAUGCGGGGCUCAACCCCGUAUGGCUCUGGAUACUGGGAGGCUUGAGUGCAGGAGAGGAAAGGGGAAUUCCCAGUGUAGCGGUGAAAUGCGUAGAUAUUGGGAGGAACACCAGUGGCGAAGGCGCCUUUCUGGACUGUGUCUGACGCUGAGAUGCGAAAGCCAGGGUAGCGAACAGGAUUAGAUACCCUGGUA